RNAcentral lists this RNase P RNA (432 nucleotides) under Anaerolineales bacterium. RNAcentral describes it as "RNase P RNA component class A". It matches the Rfam family "Bacterial RNase P class A". Rfam says of the family: Ribonuclease P (RNase P) is a ubiquitous endoribonuclease, found in archaea, bacteria and eukarya as well as chloroplasts and mitochondria. Lineage: Bacteria; Bacillati; Chloroflexota; Anaerolineae; Anaerolineales. The record is from RNAcentral.
CAGGCUGGUCGGGCAGUCGCGGUCCUGCGUUGUCGGGAUCGAGGAAAGUCCGCACUCCAUAGAGCACGACGUCGGAGAGUACCCCGGGGUGGGGAAACCGCCGAGAGGCGCGAACCUACCGGAUAAAAGGGCCACAGAAACAAACAGCCCACGCAAGUGUGGUGAUGGUGAAAAGGUGGUGUAAGAGACCACCGGCGCCCGCAGUAAUGCGGGUGGCCAGGUAACCCCCGUCGGGAGCAAGGCCAAGCAGGGGCGAUUUCGUCCGUGGACGAUGGGAGACUGCUCGUCUCCAUACGUGUCCUUCCCUCUUGUGGGAGGGACCAGCCCCGGGUAGGCUGCAUCGAGCGGCGCGGAGACGCGCCGCCCAGAGAGAUGACUGCCCAGGCGGAGAAAUCCGCUGGACAGAAUGCGGCUUAUAGACCAGCCUGAGGA